AGAGGCGGAGGGUACCCCUGGGGUAGGGGUGAAAUCCUAUAAUCCCAGGGGGACCGCCAGUGGCGAAGGCGCUCCGCUGGAACGGGUCCGACGGUGAGGGACGAAGGCCAGGGGAGCGAACCGGAUUAGAUACCCGGGUAGUCCUGGCUGUAAAGGAUGCGGGCUAGGUGUCGGGCGAGCUUCGAGCUCGCCCGGUGCCGAAGGGAAGCCGUUAAGCCCGCCGCCUGGGGAGUACGGCCGCAAGGCUGAGACUUAAAGGAAUUGGCGGGGGAGUACUACAAGGGGUGAAGCGUGCGGUUUAUUUGUAUUCAACGCCGGGAACCUCACCGGGGGCGACGGCAGGAUGAAGGCCAGGCUGAAGGUCUUGCCGGACGCGCCGAGAGGAGGUGCAUGGCCGCCGUCAGCUCGUACCGUGAGGCGUCCACUUAAGUGUGGUAACGAGCGAGACCCGCGCCCCCAGUUGCCAGUCCUCCCCGCUGGGGAGGAGGCACUCUGGGGGGACCGCCGGCGAUAAGCCGGAGGAAGGAGCGGGCGACGGUAGGUCAGUAUGCCCCGAAACCCCCGGGCUACACGCGCGCUACAAUGGGCGGGACAAUGGGAUCCGACCCCGAAAGGGGAAGGGAAUCCCCUAAACCCGCCCUCAGUUCGGAUCGCGUCUCAACUCGCCCGCGUGAAGCUGGAAUCCCUAGUACCCGCGUGUCAUCUCGCGCGCGAUAAAACAU
RNAcentral lists this ribosomal RNA (722 nucleotides) under uncultured archaeon. RNAcentral's name for it is "bacterial SSU rRNA". It matches the Rfam family "Archaeal small subunit ribosomal RNA", at positions 604 to 1327 of the family's 1478-position model. The record is from RNAcentral.